UGGGGAAUUUUGCACAAUGGGGGAAACCCUGAUGCAGCGACGCCGCGUGAUUUAGAAGGCCUUCGGGUUGUAAAAAUCUUUUGUAUGGGAAGAAAAUGACAGUACCAUACGAAUAAGGACCGGCUAAUUACGUGCCAGCAGCCGCGGUAAUACGUAAGGUCCGAGCGUUGUCCGGAAUCAUUGGGCGUAAAGGGUACGUAGGCGGAUAAGCAAGUUAGAAGUGAAAUCCUAUAGCUCAACUAUAGUAAGCUUUUAAAACUGCUCAUCUUGAGGUAUGGAAGGGAAAGUGGAAUUCCUAGUGUAGCGGUGAAAUGCGCAGAUAUUAGGAGGAAUACCGGUGGCGAAAGCGGGUCUCUGGGCCGUUACUGACGCUGAGGAGCGAAAGCGUGGGGAGCGAACAGG
Molecule: ribosomal RNA, 402 nt
Filed under: Verrucomicrobiota bacterium
Lineage: Bacteria; Pseudomonadati; Verrucomicrobiota
Description: Verrucomicrobia bacterium partial 16S ribosomal RNA
Rfam family: Bacterial small subunit ribosomal RNA
Source: RNAcentral